CCUACGGGUGGCAGCAGUGAGGAAUAUUGGGCAAUGGGCUGAAGCCUGAACCAGCCAAGUCGCGUGAGGGAAGACUGCCCUAUGGGUUGUAAACCUCUGUUGUCAGGGAGCAACGCCGGCUACGUGUAGCCGGACGGAGAGAACCUGAAGAAAAAGCAUCGGCGAACUCCGUGCCAGCAGCCGCGGUAAUACGGAGGAGGCGAGCGUGAGCCGGAUUGAUUGGGUUUAAAGGGUUCGUCGGCGGAAUGCCAAGUCAGCGGUAAACUCGCGGGGCUCAACCUCGCUCCGCCGUUGAAACGGGCGUUCUUGAGUGUGCGUGACGUCUGCGGACUGCGUGGUGUAGCGG
Molecule: ribosomal RNA, 346 nt
Filed under: uncultured bacterium
Lineage: Bacteria
Description: partial 16S ribosomal RNA
Rfam family: Bacterial small subunit ribosomal RNA
Source: RNAcentral